Gadus morhua (Atlantic cod) is the source of this 70-nucleotide microRNA precursor. The record is from Ensembl. NCBI's taxonomy places the organism in Eukaryota, Metazoa, Chordata, Actinopteri, Gadiformes, Gadidae.
CGGCUGGUUUAAGCACCCUCACCUGAGCCGACUCUGGCUGACUGGUCAGGCUGCUUAAACCAGCCAUCAA